Molecule: ribosomal RNA, 465 nt
Filed under: uncultured bacterium
Lineage: Bacteria
Description: partial 16S ribosomal RNA
Rfam family: Bacterial small subunit ribosomal RNA
Source: RNAcentral
GACGAACGCUGGCGGCGUGCUUAACACAUGCAAGUCGAACGGAAAGGCCCUGCUUGCCGGGUACUCGAGUGGCGAACGGGUGAGUAACACGUGGGUGAUCUGCCCUUCACUUCGGGAUAAGCCUGGGAAACUGGGUCUAAUACCGGAUAGGAGCCAUUUUUAGUGUGAUGGUUGGAAAGUUUUUUCGGUGUAGGAUGAGCUCGCGGCCUAUCAGCUUGUUGGUGGGGUAAUGGCCUACCAAGGCGGCGACGGGUAGCCGGCCUGAGAGGGUGGACGGCCACAGUGGGACUGAGAGACGGCCCAGACUCCUACGGGAGGCAGCAGUGGGGAAUAUUGCACAAGGGGCGCAAGCCUGAUGCAGCGACGCCGCGGGGGGGAUGACGGCCUUCGGGUUGUAAACGCCUUUCGCUAGGGACGAAGCUUUUUGUGACGGUACCUAGAUAAGAAGCACCGGCUAACUACGUG